Molecule: ribosomal RNA, 497 nt
Filed under: uncultured bacterium
Lineage: Bacteria
Description: partial 16S ribosomal RNA
Rfam family: Bacterial small subunit ribosomal RNA
Source: RNAcentral
GAUGAACGCUGGCGGCGUGCCUAAUACAUGCAAGUCGAGCGAACAGACGAGGAGCUUGCUCCUCUGACGUUAGCGGCGGACGGGUGAGUAACACGUGGAUAACCUACCUAUAAGACUGGGAUAACUUCGGGAAACCGGAGCUAAUACCGGAUAACAUGUUGAACCGCAUGGUUCAACAGUGAAAGACGGUCUUGCUGUCACUUAUAGAUGGAUCCGCGCCGCAUUAGCUAGUUGGUAAGGUAACGGCUUACCAAGGCAACGAUGCGUAGCCGUCCUGAGAGGGUGAUCGGCCACACUGGAACUGAGACACGGUCCAGACUCCUACGGGAGGCAGCAGUAGGGAAUCUUCCGCAAUGGGCGAAAGCCUGACGGAGCAACGCCGCGUGAGUGAAGAAGGUCUUCGGAUCGUAAAACUCUGUUAUUAGGGAAGAACAAAUGUGUAAGUAACUAUGCACGUCUUGACGGUACCUAAUCAGAAAGCCACGGCUAACUACGUG